RNAcentral lists this transfer RNA (67 nucleotides) under Geoscapheus dilatatus. RNAcentral describes it as "tRNA-Asn". Lineage: Eukaryota; Metazoa; Arthropoda; Insecta; Blattodea; Blaberidae. The record is from RNAcentral.
UUAACUGAAACCAAAAAGAGGUAUAUUACUGUUAAUAAUAAAACUGAAGAUUUAUAUUCCAGUUAAG